RNAcentral lists this long non-coding RNA (526 nucleotides) under Coturnix japonica (Japanese quail). Its description in RNAcentral is "lncRNA (ENSCJPG00005013549.1)". Lineage: Eukaryota; Metazoa; Chordata; Aves; Galliformes; Phasianidae. The record is from RNAcentral.
ACGACAGAGCAUCGCAGCCUGGUGGCUGGGCAGGACCUAGUACUGGCCUGUGAGCUGUCCCAGCCCGAUGCUGCUGUUCGCUGGCUGCGGGAUGGUCGGGAGCUGCAGCCAGGGGAGCGGGUGUGCAUUGUGGCCCGUGGGGCGCUGCGGGAGCUCACUGUGCGUGGGGCACAGCCUGGGGACUCGGGGUGCUACGUCUGUGAUGCUGCCACCGACCGCAUGGUGACAAGCGUGGAGGUGACAGCCCAGUCUGUGCGCAUUGUGAACAAGGAGGAGGCGCAGAGCCCGCUGGAGGUGCAGGAGGGGGAUAGCGUGACGCUGGUGGCCCAGCUGUCCCUGGAGACAGCAGAAGCACAGUGGCAGAAGGAUGGGCAGAUGUUGCUCUCGGGCGGGCGGCUGCUGGUGUGCAGUGAGGGCCCAGCACGCAGCCUCACCAUCAAACAAGUGGAACUGGGGGAUGCCGGCACCUUCCUCUGUGAUGCUGGGGAUGACGAGGUGUACUUCACUCUGCAUGUGAAAGAAGCAC